Molecule: small RNA, 257 nt
Filed under: Histoplasma capsulatum
Lineage: Eukaryota; Fungi; Ascomycota; Eurotiomycetes; Onygenales; Ajellomycetaceae
Also listed under: 1 other name
Description: hypothetical RNA
Source: RNAcentral
UAAGACUUUACUUAGUUUCUUGAUACAUUUUGACACUGUAGCUGACUGAGCUUCUAUAAUGACUUUUUGAUCUUCAAUCUGCUGCUGAAGUUAAUAGAUGUCUGCUGUCUUUAUCUUUUUGUGAUUCACAUCUUGUCUUUUGCAUUUAUAGUGAGCUUUUGAGAUUUCUGAUAAUUGCUGAUGUACUGUGAAUUAUUGAUUCAGAGCUGAAGCAGAGCAACCUUGUCUAAGUCUUUAUUCAAUGAAAACAGAAGUGA